Molecule: long non-coding RNA, 754 nt
Organism: Drosophila ananassae
Lineage: Eukaryota; Metazoa; Arthropoda; Insecta; Diptera; Drosophilidae
Exons: 2
Source: RefSeq, a predicted model, not a curated record
UAGGGAAGGUAUAUUACGAGCUAGAAGAUCUACAAGGCCGCCUGAUCGGAAAUUUCCAUGCCAAAGAUAUUAAGCCAUAAGCGUAGACAACAAGCGGGAAUCUUCCUUGUGUUGUUCCACCCCAAGUUAGAUUUUAGUGGGGGGGAAAAUGUAAUGCGCUUGUUGUAACUUAACAACAAUCCAAAUGCCUAAAAGUAAACCUCAUUUAGUUAAGCUUGGAAUAACCGAAAAUACAAAACAAAAAACAAAAAGCUUGGUUAAGCUUAAAGUUUCUUAUCUAUUGAUAAUCAAUUAUCUACCUAGAAUUGAGCAUUUAAGUAUCGGUCUAAGCAUAGAAUAAGCAGCGGCCAACUUCUUUUCUCUUGUGGCUGCUAAGAUAAGCGCAUCGCUCGCGGUUAAACUCCAGUAUAUAUUUAACCCCCGGAAAAAAAAGACACGUGGUGGGGAAUUUCCACAUAAGUUUCCCAAAACUAAACGCAGAGGGAAGUGAGCAGCGCUCAGUGUAUUAAAAGUGAAUUACAUUUUUGCGGUGCCAAUUCAAGGUCGAAUUGGCACCCAGUAAGAACCCAUUUGUGUAUUGUUCUUACAUUGGAAAUAAGUUUAUAAUCCCCCAAGCAGCCAGUUUACCCUAAGAAGGGCUUCCAGCGCCACGCCGCGGGAUCUGAUGGAUUUAUUAUAAAUUAGUAUUCAUCGCUCAACCCGACAAAAGAUCUUUUGGACGUGGAAAUUAAACUCGAUGUAAGUGAAAAAAAAA